This 250-nucleotide ribosomal RNA is filed under the name uncultured bacterium. RNAcentral describes it as "partial 16S ribosomal RNA". It matches the Rfam family "Bacterial small subunit ribosomal RNA", at positions 525 to 775 of the family's 1533-position model. The record is from RNAcentral.
ACGGAGGAUGCGAGCGUUAUCCGGAUUUAUUGGGUUUAAAGGGAGCGCAGGCUGCGAGGCAAGUCAGCGGUCAAAUGUCGGGGCUCAACCCCGGCCUGCCGUUGAAACUGUCCUGCUAGAGUUCGAGUGAGGUAUGCGGAAUGCGUUGUGUAGCGGUGAAAUGCAUAGAUAUGACGCAGAACUCCGAUUGCGAAGGCAGCAUACCAACUCGCGACUGACGCUGAGGCUCGAAAGCGUGGGUAUCGAACAG